UACGUAGGGUGCGAGCGUUAAUCGGAAUUACUGGGCGUAAAGGGUGCGCAGGCGGGCUUUUAAGCCAGACGUGAAAUCCCCGGGCUUAACCUGGGAAUGGCGUUUGGGACUGGAAGUCUGGAGUGCGGCAGAGGAGACUGGAAUUCCUGGUGUAGCAGUGAAAUGCGUAGAUAUCAGGAGGAACACCGAUGGCGAAGGCAGGUCUCUGGGCUGACACUGACGCUCAUGCACGAAAGCGUGGGGAGCAAACAGG
RNAcentral lists this ribosomal RNA (253 nucleotides) under uncultured bacterium. Its description in RNAcentral is "partial 16S ribosomal RNA". It matches the Rfam family "Bacterial small subunit ribosomal RNA", at positions 524 to 776 of the family's 1533-position model. The record is from RNAcentral.